GCGGAGGUUGCCAAGCCCGGUUAACGGCGCUAGACUCAGACUCUAGGCCUUUCCAGCGUAAUUCCGCUGCAAAGGGGAAAAUCUCGUAGGAGUUCGCGAGUUCAAAUCUCGCCCUCCGCACCA
This 123-nucleotide transfer RNA is filed under the name Promethearchaeota archaeon. Its description in RNAcentral is "Candidatus Lokiarchaeota archaeon (microbial mat metagenome) tRNA-Leu". It matches the Rfam family "tRNA". Rfam says of the family: Transfer RNA (tRNA) molecules are approximately 80 nucleotides in length. Their secondary structure includes four short double-helical elements and three loops (D, anti-codon, and T loops). Lineage: Archaea; Promethearchaeati; Promethearchaeota. The record is from RNAcentral.